UGCAUUCUAGGAGCUAAGUUACCCAUCUGGAGCUCUCAUAACAUCUCCUGGGCAUCAUGUUGGAGACCUAAGAGUUAGAAGGCAAAUGCCUUCUGGAGGUAUCUGCAUCUCUUUCCUCAGUGGGAUUUCUACUUCCACAUCGCUUGCUGUACCUCUGUUUCUCUAAGAAUCACAGAAGAGAAAGAAGUAUAAAAUAUGCUCACAGCUCAUUACAUGCAUUCAAACAGCACCCUUUAAGGGGAGACUUGUUCUCAUCAACGAGGC
Molecule: long non-coding RNA, 264 nt
Filed under: Fukomys damarensis (Damara mole-rat)
Lineage: Eukaryota; Metazoa; Chordata; Mammalia; Rodentia; Bathyergidae
Description: lncRNA (ENSFDAG00000026045.1)
Source: RNAcentral